This 995-nucleotide ribosomal RNA is filed under the name Halticus sp. WCW-2003. Its description in RNAcentral is "partial 18S ribosomal RNA". It matches the Rfam family "Eukaryotic small subunit ribosomal RNA", at positions 411 to 1324 of the family's 1831-position model. Lineage: Eukaryota; Metazoa; Arthropoda; Insecta; Hemiptera; Miridae. The record is from RNAcentral.
CACAUCCAAGGAAGGCAGCAGGCACGCAAAUUACCCACUCCCGGCACGGGGAGGUAGUGACAAAAAAUAACGAUACGGGACUCAUAUGAGGCCCCGUAAUCGGAAUGAGUACACUUUAAAUCCUUUAACAAGGAUCCAUUGGAGGGCAAGUCUGGUGCCAGCAGCCGCGGUAAUUCCAGCUCCAAUAGCGUAUAUUAAAGUUNNNNNNNNNNNNNNNNNNNNNNNNNNNNNNNNUCGGUUCGCCGCCUGCCGGUGUAACUGGCAUGCCGUGGUAUGUCCUGUCGGUGGCGUGCGGGCGCCUUGUCAGGCGGUUGUUCGGCUCGCAAGAGUUGCUUCAGCAGGCCGGAGGUUUCAACCCGUUCGCCUACUCAUCCUACCUAGGUGCUCUUCAUCGAGUGUCGAGGUAGGCCGACACGUUUACUUUGAACAAAUUAGAGUGCUCAAAGCAGGCUGAAAUUUCUGCCUGAAUAGUGGUGCAUGGAAUAAUAAAACAGGACCUUGGUUCUAUUUUGUUGGUUCUUAGGAACACAAGGUAAUGAUCAAUACGGACAGGCGGGGCUUGGCAAAUGCUUUCGCNNNNNNNNNNNNNGACCGUCGCAAGACGCACAAGAGCGAAAGCAUUUGCCAAGUAUGUCUUGAUUGAUCAAGAACGAAAGUUAGAGGUUCGAAGGCGAUCAGAUACCGCCCUAGUUCUAACCAUAAACGAUGCCAGCCAGCGAUCCGCCGAUGUUCCUCCGAUGACUCGGCGGGGAGCUUCUUCCCGGGAAACCAAAGCUUUUGGGUUCCGGGGGAAGUAUGGUUGCAAAGCUGAAACUUAAAGGAAUUGACGGAAGGGCACCACCAGGAGUGGAGCCUGCGGCUUAAUUUGACUCAACACGGGAAACCUCACCAGGCCAGGACAUUGGAAGGAUUGACAGAUUGAUAGCUCUUUCUUGAUUCAGUGGGUAGUGGUGCAUGGCCGUUCUUAGUUGGUGGAUCGAUUUGUCUGGUUAAUU